Lolium perenne is the source of this 925-nucleotide long non-coding RNA. RefSeq lists it as uncharacterized. The record is from RefSeq and is a predicted model, not a curated record. Lineage: Eukaryota; Viridiplantae; Streptophyta; Magnoliopsida; Poales; Poaceae.
UUGUUUUCUUCUUUCCUGAGAGCUGAGAUGCCAAUCGCCCGAUCCCAUUUUCCCUGUCGACAUCUGUUCCAUUUGAAAUAACCUACCACGCGACGUGCCGCCUUGACAGCCACAGCUUUUCCCUCCCUAACCCUAAUUAAAUACCUAACCAAGGGUAAAUAAACCAGCUGUUCCGCUAAUCUUUUCGCCUCGCCUAGUUCUUUCUCAUUCGCUCCGCCUUGCCCAAAUCUGCAAAAAUCAGGUCCACGCCGCAAUUAGGCAGUAGAAAAAUCUCAGCUCCACUAUAAUACUGCCCCUGCUAGGGUUUCCAGGCCGCCUCCAUGGAACCCGCCGCCUGUAGAUCCUCCUCGAGCCGCCUCGCCUCCCGCGGCCGACGGAGGCCGCCGACGGUUUGAGUUAUUGCAUGUGGUGGCACCAAGCGUGAGGCUACAACUGCAUUACUUGCAAGGAAGUUACAAAAUUUAUGGAUCAUCAUACCCGUGACUUUCUUGCAUGUUGUGCAGUUGCUGUCUCUCUGUUUGCCAGAACUAUGAUGUGAAGUAGGAAUUUUAGCCAGGUGAGAUUGGUCACAUUAGUAGACAACUAAUGCAUUGCUCCUUGCAAAACAUGAGUACAUGCUUGCAGUAAGUGGUGAAGCGAACAUGUGUUAUGAUUAUUUUACUUUGUGUUCUCUUAUCUUGAUCUUAUUAACAUAGGUCCCAUUGUUUUUUAGUCUGACUAGCUAUAUGUCUUAGUUAACGAAGCCUGGUAGCCUGUGACAUGAAUUUGGUUUAUAUACUGAAAGGAACAAUCAAAACAGGCUCUCGGCCGUGUACUUUGCAGACUUCUGAAGCUUGGGGUGCUUGAGCAGAUAUGUGUCAUAAACAGCGACGACCUUAUCUGAAACGGCCUUCUGCAGUGCCUCACGGAGCGCGGGAUCUGGGAC